UUUUUUUUUUUUUUUUUUUUUUUUGAGAUAGAGUCUUGCUCUGUCACCCAGGCUGGGGUGCAGUGGUGCAAUCUUGGUUCACUGCAACCUCUGCCUCCCAGGUUCAAGCGAUUCUUGUGCCUCAGCGUCCUGGGUAGCUGAGAUUACAGGUGUGUACCACCACGCCAGGCUAACUUUUAAACUUUUAGUAGAGAUGGGGUUUCACCAUGUUGGCCAGGUUGGUCUUGAACACCUGACCUCAGGCGAUCCGCCUGCCUCAGCCUCCCAAAGUGUUGAGAUUACAGGCGUGAGCCACUGCACCCGGCCUCUUUUUCUUUUCCUGAUAUAUGUUUUUACUUUUUUGGGGUAAAAGCCUAAGAGGAAUUGCCGGGUCAUAGGGAAGGUAUUUGUUUAGCUUUAUAAUAAACUGUCAAACAGUUCUCCAAAGUGGCUGUCCCGUAUUUAUGCACAUUCUCUUUUAUAGUGUUUUGCAUCUGUCAACAAUAGUAACCCUAACAGCAGUUAGAUAUUAAGCUCCUAUCGCAAGGCAGAACCCAGAAACAGCUGUCUUAUGCUCCCUGGACUUUGGUUCCUUAGCAGCGAGGGCCAGAGAAUGAGUGAGGCACUGCAUGGACGAGGCGGCAAAAACCACAUUUUCCCCAGCGUCCUUCUCCACUUCUUCAGUCAUAGACACCCCACAGCCCAGCCUCCCUUGCAGCUAAAUGAAAUCAUGUGAUUCAGCUGUCAGUGGGGUCAUGUAGCAGAAAGUUGACCAGUGAGCACCAUUCCCCCUCCCUUUCUCUAUCCUGCUGCUGGGAACAUGGAUGUGACAGCUAAAUCCCCAUGUCAGAGCUCCAGGAAGAGGGCCAACGCGAGAUGCAGGAGCAGAAAACUGGAGGCAGCUUGGUUCCUAAGGGCUUUGCGAUCACCCCAGGUGCCACCCCUGAUGCUUAGGGGAAAGGCUGCCUUGCAUUAGCCCUGGCUGGUGCACACAGGCCUGUGUCCAUGCUGGGAACUCCAGGCUGGUAGCCAGGCUUCCUGCUUUAGCACAGACUUUGUGCCUGCAGGUGAACACUACACAGGUGGGAUGGAAGGGGCAUGAGUGCAGAGUCUUCUGACACAUGCUAGGAGGCCAUUUCCAUGAUGACAAAUCCCUGGUGUCCACUACAGGGAAGGAGGAUCUGGGAGCCACUUACAGGCCAUCUGGGACCUGCUUCUGUCAGCCUAACUACUCCUGGCUGCUAGACAUACCUGGGGGCCUGGCUGGGCUGGGACAGUGCCUGGACUUCUAGCGCCUAGGGCCUGAGGCAACUCCAGGAGGAUGGAGGUGACACCAAUGAGGACAGCUAAGGUGGGGUCAGUCAGGAAGGGUUCACCUCACCUGGCAGCCAGACAGUGCCAGGGGUGCUCCAGGGAACCCCAGCCAGCAGGGGGGUGGCCCAGAGCCUCAGCCUGGCAGCAGACUUAGCAGGGGUUGCUCUCGCUUCCCUCCCUUUGCCCAAGGGCACAGUAUCUCUGGAACAGGUGCUGGUGUCCACCUUAUGCUUGGAUGCCUGGUGAAAAGGGAGGAAGUCUAGGGGGUUCUCACCCUGUGUUCUCGGGCUGUGCCUCUGAGCCAGGCCUGCGGACACUGCUUCCAGCCAGGGCCGCACUGGUUAGUUGGCUUUAUCACUUUGCUUGUUAGUCAUCAAGGUGGUUCCAAAUCCCUUGGAGGACUCAGGCGAAUCUGCCAAUAAGCCACUGACAAAAUGCCCUUGCGGGGUCUGACUGCUUCAGCCUCUUUCCCACCCUCUUCAUUCCCUAAACACACCAGAUAGUGCCUGCCACAGGGCCUUUGCAUGGCAGCCUCUUCUACCAACACCCUGCCCUUUUCCUCUCAAGGGUAGCCUCUCUGU
Molecule: long non-coding RNA, 1874 nt
Organism: Macaca fascicularis (crab-eating macaque)
Lineage: Eukaryota; Metazoa; Chordata; Mammalia; Primates; Cercopithecidae
Source: Ensembl